GAAAUAGAACCUGAAACCGUGUGCCUACAACCGCUCAGAGCCCCUUAUGAGGGUGAUGAGGUGCUUUUUGUAGAACGAGCCAACGAGUUACGGUAUGUAGCAAGGUUAAGUACUUAAGGUACGGAGCCGAAGGGAAACCGAGUCUGAAUAGGGCGACUAGUUGCAUGCCGUAGACCCGAAACCGGGUGACCUAUCCAUGGCCAGGUUGAAGCGAGGGUAAAACCUCGUGGAGGACCGAACCACGUUGCUGUUGAAAAAGCAUGGGAUGAGCUGUGGAUAGCGGAGAAAUUCCAAUCGAACCCGGAGAUAGCUGGUUCUCUCCGAAAUAGCUUUAGGGCUAGCGUCGAGUAUGAGUAGUGGAGGUAGAGCACUGAAUGGGCUAGGGGGCAUAGCGCUUACCGAACCUUAUCAAACUCCGAAUGCCACAUACUUUGAGCUCGGCAGUCAGACUACGAAUGAUAAGAUCCGUGGUCAAAAGGGAAACAGCCCAGAUCGUCAGCUAAGGUCCCAAAGUGUAAGUUAAGUGGGAAAGGAUGUGAGAUUUCUAAGACAACUAGGAUGUUGGCUUAGAAGCAGCCAUUCAUUAAAAGAGUGCGUAAUAGCUCACUAGUCGAGAGAUCUUGCGCCGAAAAUGUAACGGGGCUAAACUUACCACCGAAGCUACGGGCUUGAACUUAGUUCAAGCGGUAGGAGAGCGUCGUAACCGGGCUGAAGUCGUACCGUAAGGAGCGGUGGACUGGUUACGAGUGAGAAUGUUGGCAUCAGUAGCGAGAUGUGGGUGAGAAUCCCACAGGCCGAAAACCUAAGGUUUCCUCAGGAAGGUUCGUCCGCUGAGGGUUAGUCGGGACCUAAGCCGAGGCCGAAAGGCGUAGGUGAUGGACAACUGGUUGAUAUUCCAGUACCACUACCAUCGUUAUUAUCGAUGGCGUGACGCAGGAGGAUAGUGUGUGCUAGCUAUUGGAUGCUAGUCUAAGCGUUUAGGCAGUGAGAGUAGGCAAAUCCGCUCUCAUAAUGCUGAGGCGUGAUGGGGAAGGUUC
RNAcentral lists this ribosomal RNA (1037 nucleotides) under Clostridium perfringens. RNAcentral describes it as "partial 23S ribosomal RNA". It matches the Rfam family "Bacterial large subunit ribosomal RNA", at positions 540 to 1578 of the family's 2925-position model. Lineage: Bacteria; Bacillati; Bacillota; Clostridia; Eubacteriales; Clostridiaceae. The record is from RNAcentral.